UGUGAAAACRUAYUGUCUUUAAGUUACAAUAGUUGUACAUGUCAGUUACURAUUAUGCUACUGUAAGCCUCAUAAGAUUCUAAAUAUUAACUACAAUGUCAUCCCAUUUAGGUUACCUGGAAARYUAAUAUUUGGCCUGGUGAAUCAAUGAAACAAACCCACAGCUGCAGCAAAUCCCCUGGAAGAGAGGACUUCCCACGUUGGCCACCAAUCAAGAUCAUGAUAUGUUUGAUAAAGUUGCUUUUACAUUUGGUUCAUGAUAUGGAAUCUGUCUCAUAACACAGGGGGUUAGUAGGGGAGCAGAGAGGAAAGGAGGUCCACCAUCUUAGGAUAGGAGGCUGUCUGAGAAGAUUCAGACAGUCAUUCUGAACGAUUCAAAAGUCAUGAAAAAUACAUGUUGAACAUAAUGGGAAGGUAAACAAUUGAUGAAACAGUUGAUCAGAAAAACAUUUGAUAUUGAUCCUCUUUUCAUUUAAAGCAGCAAACUACUGAUAGUCAAUGGAAGUCAAAUCAAUUAAAUGUACAGUAUACAAUGAACAUGGAUGAAUGUAGAAAAUGUCAUGGCUUGGAUCUAUAAAAGAGAUAUAAUUA
This is a non-coding RNA of Salvelinus sp. IW2-2015, 591 nucleotides long. NCBI's taxonomy places the organism in Eukaryota, Metazoa, Chordata, Actinopteri, Salmoniformes, Salmonidae. The record is from RefSeq and is a predicted model, not a curated record.